RNAcentral lists this ribosomal RNA (301 nucleotides) under uncultured bacterium. Its description in RNAcentral is "partial 16S ribosomal RNA". It matches the Rfam family "Bacterial small subunit ribosomal RNA", at positions 510 to 808 of the family's 1533-position model. The record is from RNAcentral.
CGCAGCCGCGGGAAUACAGAGGGUGCGAGCGUUAAUCGGAUUUACUGGGCGUAAAGCGUGCGUAGGCGGCUUCUUAAGUCGGAUGUGAAAUCCCUGAGCUUAACUUAGGAAUUGCAUUCGAUACUGGGAAGCUAGAGUAUGGGAGAGGAUGGUAGAAUUCCAGGUGUAGCGGUGAAAUGCGUAGAGAUCUGGAGGAAUACCGAUGGCGAAGGCAGCCAUCUGGCCUAAUACUGACGCUGAGGUACGAAAGCAUGGGGAGCAAACAGGAUUAGAUACCCCGGUAGUCCCUGUCUCUUAUACA